Molecule: ribosomal RNA, 466 nt
Filed under: uncultured bacterium
Lineage: Bacteria
Description: partial 16S ribosomal RNA
Rfam family: Bacterial small subunit ribosomal RNA
Source: RNAcentral
GACGAACGCUGGCGGUGUGCUUAACACAUGCAAGUCGAACGGUAAGGCCCUUUCGGGGGUACACGAGUGGCGAACGGGUGAGUAACACGUGAGUAACCUGCCCUCAUCUCUGGGAUAACAGUCGGAAACGGUUGCUAAUACUGGAUAUGAGCUUGCAAGGCAUCUUGUGGGUUGGAAAGAUUUUUUUGGUUGGGGAUGGACUCGCGGCCUAUCAGCUUGUUGGUGAGGUAGUGGCUCACCAAGGCUUCGACGGGUAGCCGGCCUGAGAGGGCGACCGGCCACAUUGGAACUGAAAUACGGCCCAAACUCCUACGGGAGGCAGCAGUGGGGAAUAUUGCACAAUGGACGGAAGUCUGAUGCAGCAACGCCGCGGGCGGGAUGACGGCCUUCGGGUUGUAAACCGCUUUCAAUUGUGACGAAGCUUUUUGUGACGGUAGCAGUAGAAGAAGCACCGGCUAACUACGUG